This 544-nucleotide long non-coding RNA is filed under the name Phaseolus vulgaris (common bean). RNAcentral describes it as "long non-coding RNA (PVUL_LNC001315)". Lineage: Eukaryota; Viridiplantae; Streptophyta; Magnoliopsida; Fabales; Fabaceae. The record is from RNAcentral.
CACAACUCAGCCCAUAUGUUUGGUAUGAAUCGAAAGGUUUCGGAAAACUAUACAAGAGCCAAAGACCUAUUAGAAGAUUAUCCAGAAAAGCAUCAAAAUUGAGUAGUAGAACUUUUCAAACCAAGGAGUAAACCAUAAAAUCAAAAGAGUAAAAGCCAACCGCAGUUCUCCAAUGCUCAUCCCACAAGAUGCCUCUUAUGAACCAUAAACCAUCAAAAUACAACCAAGAUUAUAAUCAAACCAACAAUGUACAGGCGAAAGAAACAUUUAGCUUCACAAAUAAAAUAAUUGAAUUUCCACAAUUUAAUCCUUGGAGAUCAAAUAGAGAAAAUAAUUCAAACAUCGAACACCAGUCAAUCCAACAACAGAGAGGAAACUAAUCGAGAAAUUAGGAUAUACUGAUGCAGCCGUUUUAAACCCUUUUUAGGGAUUAGUGUUUCAAAUAUCAGAAACUCGAAUUGCUGAAGGGGAAUGAACACCAACACCAAGUUAAGCUAUCACAAAUAAACGCAAAAGAAAGCACAAGAGUAACAGAACAUAAUAC